AGCGAACGCUGGCGGCAGGCCUAACGCAUGCAAGUCGAACGAACUCUUCGGAGUUAGUGGCGGACGGGUGAGUAACACGUGGGAACGUGCCUUUAGGUUCGGAAUAACUCAGGGAAACUUGUGCUAAUACCGAAUGUGCCCUUCGGGGGAAAGAUUUAUCGCCUUUAGAGCGGCCCGCGUCUGAUUAGCUAGUUGGUGAGGUAAAGGCUCACCAAGGCGACGAUCAGUAGCUGGUCUGAGAGGAUGAUCAGCCACAUUGGGACUGAGACACGGCCCAAACUCCUACGGGAAGCAGCAGUGGGGAAUCUUGCGCAAUGGGCGAAAGCCUGACGCAGCCAUGCCGCGUGAAUGAUGAAGGUCUUAGGAUUGUAAAAUUCUUUCACCGGGGACGAUAAUGACGGUACCCGGAGAAGAAGCCCCGGCUAACUUCGUG
Molecule: ribosomal RNA, 433 nt
Filed under: uncultured bacterium
Lineage: Bacteria
Description: partial 16S ribosomal RNA
Rfam family: Bacterial small subunit ribosomal RNA
Source: RNAcentral